AUUGAACGCUGGCGGAAUGCUUUACACAUGCAAGUCGAGCGGCAGCGCGGGGCAACCUGGCGGCGAGCGGCGAACGGGUGAGUAAUGCAUCGGAACGUACCCAGUCGUGGGGGAUAACUGUCCGAAAGGACAGCUAAUACCGCAUACGUCCUGAGGGAGAAAGCGGGGGGAUCGCAAGACCUCGCGCGAUUGGGAGCGGCCGAUGCCGGAUUAGCUAGUUGGUAGGGUAAAGGCCUACCAAGGCGACGAUCCGUAGCUGGUCUGAGAGGACGACCAGCCACACUGGAACUGAGACACGGUCCAGACUCCUACGGGAGGCAGCAGUGGGGAAUUUUGGACAAUGGGGGCAACCCUGAUCCAGCCAUUCCGCGUGAGUGAAGAAGGCCUCGG
This 390-nucleotide ribosomal RNA is filed under the name uncultured bacterium. RNAcentral describes it as "bacterial SSU rRNA". It matches the Rfam family "Bacterial small subunit ribosomal RNA", at positions 29 to 420 of the family's 1533-position model. The record is from RNAcentral.